Molecule: ribosomal RNA, 449 nt
Filed under: Blastocystis sp. subtype 1
Lineage: Eukaryota; Bigyra; Opalinata; Blastocystidae
Description: SSU rRNA
Rfam family: Eukaryotic small subunit ribosomal RNA
Source: RNAcentral
ACAAUGCGGGACUAUACGUCUUGCAAUUGGAUUGAGAACAAUGUACAACUCUUAUCGAUAAGCCAUUGGAGGGCAAGUCUGGUGCCAGCAGCCGCGGUAAUUCCAGCUCCAAUAGCGUAUAUUAACGUUGUUGCAGUUAAAAAGCUCGUAGUUGAAGUGUGGGUGAUCGCUGUUGUGAGACUUCGGUCUCUCGACAGUAAGUCACCCCCUUCCAGUAUCCAGUAGUGGGUAUUCAGUUACUUACUAUUGUGUGUUGGUCAUUUACUGUGAGAAAAUUAGAGUGUUCAAAGCAGGCGUUUGCUUGAAUAGAUUAGCAUGGAAUAAUAAUUGAAGGCUUUCGUGUUCGAUUUGAUUGGUUUGUUCAUGGAAGCAAGGUUAAAAGGAACAGUUGGGGGUAUUCAUAUUCACUAGUUAGAGGUGAAAUUCUCGGAUUUAUGGAAGAUGAACAA